Syngnathoides biaculeatus (alligator pipefish) is the source of this 1870-nucleotide long non-coding RNA. RefSeq lists it as uncharacterized. The transcript has 2 exons. The record is from RefSeq and is a predicted model, not a curated record. Lineage: Eukaryota; Metazoa; Chordata; Actinopteri; Syngnathiformes; Syngnathidae.
GCAACAACGACAAGCAACAACAGACAUUUCUAUUCAUAGGAAAUGUUCCUUAGAAGAGUCGUGCAAGAUGUAAAAUCUUCUUCAUCAGAGAUGUGUCCACAUUGUGUUCAGCUUGUACAGAGUGCCCUUACCCGUUCGCGUUUCCCGUUAUUGCGCAAUGACAAUUGUGCAAAGGGAGGAGUUUUAAGUGACCAAAUGUGCAAUAGUCUACAAAAUAUAUUACUAAUACUAAUAUUGAUUGGACCAACAGGAUGUGAGUGUCUCAACAAUUGCACAAGGCAGAAAAUUGUAAAUUUGCUGAUCAAGAAUUUAAUGACUUAAUUGCCUGAGGUAAAAAAAAAAAAAAAAAAAAAAAAACUGUUCGAAUGCCUGCUCUUUUUGACUUUCAUUGAUCUGUAGCUCUUUCCCAACGGAAGGAGCUGGAAGAGCUGGUGGCCAGGAUUUGGAGGAUCCAAAAGGAUCCCGCCUGCUCUGGACCUCGUUCGUGUUGCGCACUGUCAUGGAGGUACACAGGACUGAUUGGAUGACCGCUGUGUAGAACUGUCUCAGCAGCUCAUAUGACAGGCCAUGUUUCCUUAGAAGCCGGAAGAAGAACAUCCCAGGUCGUCUUAUAUUUGUGUGUAAAAAACAAAAGGCAAAAAAAAGUGACAACUGUGUACACUGAGGUAUAAAAGCCCAAAUCACAAGGUCAAAAAUAUAGUUGGCUAUUAUUUUGGAAGUACUGUAUAUAUUUUGCAAGUGAAAUAGUCUUGGAUUUAUUUCCAUGUGUGCAUGCUCAAGAAUUAUGGAACAGGAAUUUUGGUUUGAAGUAAUGAUUUGCUGCACAUCAGUUUAAAUUUAGAUUGAGUUUCUCGAAUGCAAUGACGAACUUUAUUUGAAAGUACACAAAGCUCUAUUUUGCCGUUUGACACUUUAGUGCCAAAUGUGAGUAAAGAAAGCCUACAACACUUUUUUUUGCCAUAACUGCUGCUUUGGGGGGAAUUUCUUACGUUGGUAAAGUUACUUAAUGGUAAUUUUAGGCAGAAUUCUGCAAAUAUUUUAGAGGCUGUUUUUAAGGAUACACUAAAAUCUGCCCCUUACACACCUCUCUCCAAAAAAUGUUAAGACAAUCCUUUGCAUGAUUUAGGUACAAGAGGAAUCACCCAGUUUAAGAAACUGAAUUACUGGGAUCAUUACCUGCCAAAAUAAACUAAUCUCGAUUAGAAACAGUGUGUGUGGUGCUCUCCUUUUCAAAAAGAGCUUCCGUGUCAGAAGGAAGUGUUCGCCUCCCAUAGUGGGGUGCACAGCGUGUUUUCAUUAGCGAAUGUCCGGGUGACGUCAGACAGCAGAUGCACCCAAUAUGGGGACCACUUGGAUGUCGUAGAAUGACCCUGCUGCAACUUUGCGCAUGGAUGAUGCACUCUCCGCUUACUUUGUUUUGGUAUAGAUAUUGAAGUUAUCUAUUUUUCCAUUACAAUAUCUAUUUUAGAAUGUUCAUCAGGAUGACACUUGACCUUUAAUGGUAGUUGUAGGCAGAUUUCUGCAAGCUAUUUAAUUUGCUGUUUUUAAGGAUACACUAAAAUUUGCCCCCUUACACACCUCCCUCCAAAAAUGACAAUCCUUUGCAUUUUUUUUUUUUUGGUAGAAGGGACUUACCCAGUUUAAUCAACUGAAUAACUGGGAUCAUUAGCUGCCAAGAUCUGAAAAUAUCUAGAUUAGAAGCUACACGCUCCAGAUCAAUGUCAGCUCCUUCCAGCAGUACAAGUGCUGCAUUACUAAACGCAAGCCAGAUAAAACUAGAUUUAAAAGGUAAUCUGUAUUGUGUUUUUGGCUUUACUAUACUUUCCAAAAUAACUGAGUAGUUUUAAGUCGGACCACAUCAAAAAAAGAA